This 263-nucleotide ribosomal RNA is filed under the name Enterobacter asburiae. Its description in RNAcentral is "partial 16S ribosomal RNA". It matches the Rfam family "Bacterial small subunit ribosomal RNA", at positions 1 to 260 of the family's 1533-position model. Lineage: Bacteria; Pseudomonadati; Pseudomonadota; Gammaproteobacteria; Enterobacterales; Enterobacteriaceae. RNAcentral also lists the same sequence under 3 other names. The record is from RNAcentral.
AAAUUGAAGAGUUUGAUCAUGGCUCAGAUUGAACGCUGGCGGCAGGCCUAACACAUGCAAGUCGAGCGGCAGCGGAAAGUAGCUUGCUACUUUGCCGGCGAGCGGCGGACGGGUGAGUAAUGUCUGGGAAACUGCCUGAUGGAGGGGGAUAACUACUGGAAACGGUAGCUAAUACCGCAUAACGUCGCAAGACCAAAGAGGGGGACCUUCGGGCCUCUUGCCAUCAGAUGUGCCCAGAUGGGAUUAGCUAGUAGGUGGGGUAA